Molecule: ribosomal RNA, 138 nt
Filed under: uncultured eukaryote
Lineage: Eukaryota
Description: partial 18S ribosomal RNA
Rfam family: Eukaryotic small subunit ribosomal RNA
Source: RNAcentral
UGGUGGAGUGAUUUGUCUGGUUAAUUCCGAUAACGAACGAGACUCUGUCCUGCUAAAUAGUCUCCGUAUUCUUUUCGUACGGGGAAUUCUUCUUAGAGGGACUGGCGGCGUUCAGUCGCACGAGAUUGAGCAAUAACA